This 453-nucleotide ribosomal RNA is filed under the name uncultured bacterium. RNAcentral describes it as "bacterial SSU rRNA". It matches the Rfam family "Bacterial small subunit ribosomal RNA", at positions 349 to 793 of the family's 1533-position model. The record is from RNAcentral.
CAGCAGUGGGGAAUAUUGCACAAUGGGGGAAACCCUGAUGCAGCCAUGACCGCGUGUGUGAAGAAGCCUUCGGGUUGUAAAGCACUUUCAGUAGGGAGGAAGGUAGUGUAGUUAACACCUGCAUUAUUUGACGUUACCUACAGAAGAAGCACCGGCUAACUCCGUGCCAGCAGCCGCGGUAAUACGGAGGGUGCGAGCGUUAAUCGGAAUUACUGGGCGUAAAGCGCAUGCAGGCGGCCUGUUAAGUCAGAUGUGAAAGCCCGGGGCUUAACCUCGGAAUUGCAUUUGAAACUGGCAGGCUAGAGUCUUGUAGAGGGGGUAGAAUUUCAGGUGUAGCGGUGAAAAUGCGUAGAGAUCUGAAGGAAUACCAGUGGCGAAGGCGGCCCCCUGGACAAAGACUGACGCUCAGAUGCGAAAAGCGUGGGGAGCAAACAGGAUUAGAUACCCUGGUAG